RNAcentral lists this ribosomal RNA (441 nucleotides) under uncultured bacterium. Its description in RNAcentral is "partial 16S ribosomal RNA". It matches the Rfam family "Bacterial small subunit ribosomal RNA", at positions 338 to 795 of the family's 1533-position model. The record is from RNAcentral.
CCUACGGGUGGCAGCAGUGGGGAAUAUUGCACAAUGGGGGAAACCCUGAUGCAGCAACGCCGCGUGAAGGAAGACGGUUUUCGGAUUGGAAACUUCUGUUCUUAGUGAAGAAUAAUGACGGUAUCUAACGAAUAAGCACCGGCUAACUCCGUGCCAGCAGCCGCGGUAAUACGGAGGGUGCAAGCGUUACUCGGAAUCACUGGGCGUAAAGAGUGCGUAGGCGGGGUAAUAAGUCAGAUGUGAAAUCAUGUAGCUUAACUACAGAACUGCAUUUGAAACUGUUACUCUGGAGUGUGGGAGAGGUAGGUGGAAUUCUUGGUGUAGGGGUAAAAUCCGUAGAGAUCAAGAGGAAUACUCAUUGCGAAGGCGACCUGCUGGAACAUUACUGACGCUGAUGCACGAAAGCGUGGGGAGCAAACAGGAUUAGAUACCCUUGUAGUC